AGGAGGAUAGUAAGGAGUUGGGGGUGGUGGUGAAGUGUAGUAGUAAGGUGGAGGAGGUGACUUAACUGGUGGUGGAGGGGAGGAGUAGUAGUAAGGUGGAGGAGGUGACUUAACUGGUGGGGGAGGGGAGGAGUAGUAGUAAGGAGGAGGAGGUGACUUAACUGGUGGUGGAGGGGAAGAGUAGUAGUACGGUGGUGGAGGUGACUUAACUGGUGGUGGAGGAGAGGAGUAGUAGUACGGUGGAGGAGGUGACUUAACUGGUGGUGGAGGGGAGGAGUAGUAGUACGGUGGAGGAGGUGACUUAGCAGGUGGUGGUGGGGACUUGUAAUAGUAAGGUGGUGGGGGAGAGGGUGAAGGGGGUGGUGGUGAUUUAUAGUAGUAUGGUGGAGGUGGUGAUGGAGAAGGUGGUGGGGGAGACUUGUAAUAAUAAGGUGGAGGUGGUGAAGGUGAAGGUGGUGGCGGGGAUUUGUAGUAAUAUGGUGGUGGAGGUGAUGGUGAAGGAGGUGGUGGUGAUUUAUAUACAUAUGGUGGUGGUGGAGAUGGUGAUGGAGGUGGUGGCGACUUGUACACAUACGGCGGUGGAGGAGAUGGUGAAGGAG
RNAcentral lists this long non-coding RNA (599 nucleotides) under Nicotiana tabacum (common tobacco). RNAcentral describes it as "long non-coding RNA (NTAB_LNC000945)". Lineage: Eukaryota; Viridiplantae; Streptophyta; Magnoliopsida; Solanales; Solanaceae. The record is from RNAcentral.